RNAcentral lists this transfer RNA (125 nucleotides) under Bacteroides thetaiotaomicron. Its description in RNAcentral is "tRNA-OTHER". It matches the Rfam family "tRNA". Rfam says of the family: Transfer RNA (tRNA) molecules are approximately 80 nucleotides in length. Their secondary structure includes four short double-helical elements and three loops (D, anti-codon, and T loops). Lineage: Bacteria; Pseudomonadati; Bacteroidota; Bacteroidia; Bacteroidales; Bacteroidaceae. The record is from RNAcentral. RNAcentral also lists the same sequence under 1 other name.
GGUGGUAUGGCGAAAUUGGAAGACGCUUCAUAAAUCGGUUAAAUAGGAUUAUCCUUAAUUGAGAUAACUUCAUUCCGAUAAGACUUCUUGGACGGAAGGUGCAGGUUCGAGUCCUGCUACCACCA